Molecule: ribosomal RNA, 68 nt
Filed under: Clostridioides difficile
Lineage: Bacteria; Bacillati; Bacillota; Clostridia; Peptostreptococcales; Peptostreptococcaceae
Description: partial 23S ribosomal RNA
Source: RNAcentral
UAGGUCGAAGGUGUAAGUGCAGCAAUGUAUUUAGCUUAUCGAUACUAAUAGGUCGAGGACUUGACCAA